Molecule: ribosomal RNA, 750 nt
Filed under: uncultured bacterium
Lineage: Bacteria
Description: bacterial SSU rRNA
Rfam family: Bacterial small subunit ribosomal RNA
Source: RNAcentral
GAUGAACGCUGGCUGUGUGCCUAAUACAUGCAUGUCGAGCGAAGCACUUUUGUGCUUAGCGGCGAAUGGGUGAGUAACACGUACUUAACCUACCCUCAAGAUUGGGACAACACUUGGAAACGAGUGCUAAUACCAAAUACGUAUUUUUAUCGCAUGAUAGAUAUAUAAAAGGAGCUUCGGCUUCACUAGAGGAUGGGAGUGCGCUACAUUAGUUAGUUGGUAGGGUAAUGGCCUACCAAGACUAUGAUGUAUAGCGGGGCCGAGAGGCUGAUCCGCCACACUGGGACUGAGAUACGGCCCAGACUCCUACGGGAGGCAGCAGUAGGGAAUUUUCCACAAUGAACGAAAGUUUGAUGGAGCGACACAGCGUGCAGGAUGAAGGUCUUCGGAUUGUAAACUGCUGUUAUAAGAGAAGAAAAACCCUGGUAGGUAAUGACCAGGACUUGACGGUACCUUAUCAGAAAGCGACGGCUAACUAUGUGCCAGCAGCCGCGGUAAUACAUAGGUCGCAAGCGUUAUCCGGAAUUAUUGGGCGUAAAGAGUUCGUAGGUGGUUUUGUAAGUCUGAAGUUAAAUACCGGGGCUCAACCCCGGCCCGCUUUGGAUACUGCAAAACUAGAGUAAUAGAGAGGUUAGUGGAACUCCAAGUGAAGCGGUGGAAUGCGUAGAUAUUUGGAAGAACACCAAUGGCGAAGGCAACUAACUGGAUAUUAACUGACACUGAGGAACGAAAGCGUGGGUGGCAAACAGG